AACCUCCGCAAUGUGAGAAAUCGCGACGGGGGGAUCCCAAGUGCCAUUCUUAACGGGAUGGCUUUUCAUUAGUGUAAAGAGCUUUUGGAAUAAGGGCUGGGCAAGACCGGUGCCAGCCGCCGCGGUAACACCGGCAGCUCUAGUGGUAGCAGUUUUUAUUGGGCCUAAAGCGUCCGUAGCCGGUUUAAUAAGUCUCUGGUGAAAUCCUGUAGCUUAACUGUGGGAAUUGCUGGAGAUACUAUUAGACUUGAGACCGGGAGAGGUUAGAGGUACUCCCAGGGUAGAGGUGAAAUUCUGUAAUCCUGGGAGGACCGCCUGUUGCGAAGGCGUCUAACUGGAACGGUUCUGACGGUGAGGGACGAAAGUUAGGGGCGCGAACCGGAUUAGAUACCCGGGUAGUCCUAACUGUAAACGAUGCGGACUUGGUGUUGGGGUGGCUUUGAGCUGCUCCAGUGCCGAAGGGAAGCUGUUAAGUCCGCCGCCUGGGAAGUACGGUCGCAAGACUGAAACUUAAAGGAAAG
Molecule: ribosomal RNA, 521 nt
Filed under: uncultured bacterium
Lineage: Bacteria
Description: bacterial SSU rRNA
Rfam family: Archaeal small subunit ribosomal RNA
Source: RNAcentral